AUUGAACGCUGGCGGCAGGCCUAACACAUGCAAGUCGAAUGGUAACAGGAAACAGCUUGCUGUUUCGCUGACGAGUGGCGGACGGGUGAGUAAUGUCUGGGAAACUGCCUGAUGGAGGGGGAUAACUACUGGAAACGGUAGCUAAUACCGCAUAACGUCGCAAGACCAAAGAGGGGGGACCUUCGGGCCUCUUGCCAUCAGAUGUGCCCAGAUGGGAUUAGCUAGUAGGUGGGGUAACGGCUCACCUAGGCGACGAUCCCUAGCUGGUCUGAGAGGAUGACCAGCCACACUGGAACUGAGACACGGUCCAGACUCUACGGAGGCAGCAGUGGGGAAUAUUGCACAAUGGGCGCAAGCCUGAUGCAGCCAUGCCGCGUGUAUGAAGAAGGCC
This 391-nucleotide ribosomal RNA is filed under the name uncultured bacterium. RNAcentral's name for it is "bacterial SSU rRNA". It matches the Rfam family "Bacterial small subunit ribosomal RNA", at positions 30 to 416 of the family's 1533-position model. The record is from RNAcentral.